UUGCAGAGACUCCCAUGAUCAGACACGACUCAGGAAGUCAAAAGCCGUUGAAACAGUAGGCUACAUGUCAGAUGGGAGAAGAAAUCUCUUGGCAACAAGCAGUGGGAUCAAAGCAACAAGUUACCUGGUCCUGUUCCAUCAGAUUGCAAUAGCAUCACAGAUUUAUAUGGACAACAGGCUUUGGAAGGAGGCGUUUCAGAGUAAACGGUGCUACUGGAUAAUACUGUUGAGUAAGAAUCAACCAAUGAGACCACUUCAAAUAAAAAUGCUCUAUAGAGCAAAGACAGCAGCACGGUGAAGAGAUAACCUACUGAAGAGGAGCGAAUCCUUGCUGACUGCUCUUCCCAAGGGGACUAGUAUCUGCGCUAUAUGAAAUACUUAAAAACUAACCCAAUAAACACAACAAAAUUAUUCUAAUUUACUCCCUGUCAAAGAAUAGCACCU
Molecule: long non-coding RNA, 444 nt
Filed under: Fukomys damarensis (Damara mole-rat)
Lineage: Eukaryota; Metazoa; Chordata; Mammalia; Rodentia; Bathyergidae
Description: lncRNA (ENSFDAG00000027991.1)
Source: RNAcentral